GUCAUAUGCUUGUCUCAAAGAUUAAGCCAUGCAUGUCUCAGUACAAGCCAAAUUAAGGUGAAACCGCGAAAGGCUCAUUAAAUCAGUUAUGGUUCCUUAGAUCGUACCCACAUUUACUUGGAUAACUGUGGUAAUUCUAGAGCUAAUACAUGCCAACAGAACUCCGACCGGAGACGGAAGGAGUGCCUUUAUUAGAUCAAAACCAAUCGGUGGGGCGGCCUCGGUCGUGUCAUCGUACAACAUGGUGAAUCUGAAUAACGUUUGCUGAUCGCACGGUCUCGCACCGGCGACGCAUCUUUCAAAUGUCUGCCUUAUCAACUGUCGAUGGUAGGUUCUGCGCCUACCAUGGUUGUAACGGGUAACGGGGAAUCAGGGUUCGAUUCCGGAGAGGGAGCGUGAGAAACGGCUACCACAUCCAAGGAAGGCAGCAGGCGCGCAAAUUACCCAC
Molecule: ribosomal RNA, 448 nt
Filed under: Troglocharinus ferreri
Lineage: Eukaryota; Metazoa; Arthropoda; Insecta; Coleoptera; Leiodidae
Description: SSU rRNA
Rfam family: Eukaryotic small subunit ribosomal RNA
Source: RNAcentral